This 455-nucleotide ribosomal RNA is filed under the name Kingella oralis. Its description in RNAcentral is "bacterial SSU rRNA". It matches the Rfam family "Bacterial small subunit ribosomal RNA", at positions 30 to 474 of the family's 1533-position model. Lineage: Bacteria; Pseudomonadati; Pseudomonadota; Betaproteobacteria; Neisseriales; Neisseriaceae. The record is from RNAcentral.
AUUGAACGCGGGCGGCAUGCUUUACCAUGCAAGUCGAACGGCAGCACGAAAGAGCUUGCUCUUUUGGUGGCGAGUGGCGAACGGUGAGUAAUGCAUCGGAACGUACCGAGUAAUGGGGGAUAACUAUCCGAAAGGAUAGCUAAUACCGCAUACGCUUUGAGAAGGAAAGUGGGGGCUCUUCGGACCUCACGUUAUUCGAGCGGCCGAUGUCUGAUUAGCUAGUUGGUGGGGUAAAGGCCUACCAAGGCGACGAUCAGUAGCGGGUCUGAGAGGAUGAUCCGCCACACUGGGACUGAGACACGGCCCAGACUCCUACGGGAGGCAGCAGUGGGGAAUUUUGGACAAUGGGCGCAAGCCUGAUCCAGCCAUGCCGCGUGUCUGAAGAAGGCCUUCGGGUUGUAAAGGACUUUUGUUAGGGAAGAAAAGGAUAGUGUUAAUACCAUUAUCUGCUGACG